This 484-nucleotide ribosomal RNA is filed under the name uncultured bacterium. RNAcentral describes it as "partial 16S ribosomal RNA". It matches the Rfam family "Bacterial small subunit ribosomal RNA", at positions 30 to 507 of the family's 1533-position model. The record is from RNAcentral.
AUUGAACGCUGGCGGCAGGCCUAACACAUGCAAGUCGAGCGGAUGAAGGGAGCUUGCUCCUGGAUUCAGCGGCGGACGGGUGAGUAAUUCCUAGGAAUCUGCCUGGUAGUGGGGGAUAACGUCCGGAAACGGGCGCUAAUACCGCAUACGUCCUGAGGGAGAAAGUGGGGGAUCUUCGGACCUCACGCUAUCAGAUGAGCCUAGGUCGGAUUAGCUAGUUGGUGGGGUAAAGGCCUACCAAGGCGACGAUCCGUAACUGGUCUGAGAGGAUGAUCAGUCACACUGGAACUGAGACACGGUCCAGACUCCUACGGGAGGCAGCAGUGGGGAAUAUUGGACAAUGGGCGAAAGCCUGAUCCAGCCAUGCCGCGUGUGUGAAGAAGGUCUUCGGAUUGUAAAGCACUUUAAGUUGGGAGGAAGGGCAGUAAGUUAAUACCUUGCUGUUUUGACGGUACCAACAGAAUAAGCACCGGCUAACUUCGUG